RNAcentral lists this ribosomal RNA (325 nucleotides) under uncultured bacterium. Its description in RNAcentral is "bacterial SSU rRNA". It matches the Rfam family "Bacterial small subunit ribosomal RNA", at positions 28 to 334 of the family's 1533-position model. The record is from RNAcentral.
GAUGAACGCUGGCGGCGUGCUUAACACAUGCAAGUCGAGCGAAGCAUUUGCAGUUGAUUUCUUCGGAUUGAUUCUGUUUAUGACUGAGCGGCGACGGGUGAGUAACGCGUGGGGAACCUGCCUCAUACAGGGGGAUAACAGUUAGAAAUGACUGCUAAUACCGCAUAAGCGCACAGUGCCGCAUGGCGCCGUGUGAAAAACUCCGGUGGUAUGAGAUGGAUCCGCGUCUGAUUAGCUAGUUGGUAAGGUAACGGCUUACCAAGGCAACGAUCAGUAGCCGACCUGAGAGGGUGACCGGCCACAUUGGGACUGAGACACGGCCCAA